ACAUGCAGUCGAGCGGACAGAUGGGAGCUUGCUCCCUGAUGUUAGCGGCGGACGGGUGAGUAACACGUGGGUAACCUGCCUGUAAGACUGGGAUAACUCCGGGAAACCGGGGCUAAUACCGGAUGGUUGUUUGAACCGCAUGGUUCAGACAUAAAAGGUGGCUUCGGCUACCACUUACAGAUGGACCCGCGGCGCAUUAGCUAGUUGGUGAGGUAACGGCUCACCAAGGCGACGAUGCGUAGCCGACCUGAGAGGGUGAUCGGCCACACUGGGACUGAGACACGGCCCAGACUCCUACGGGAGGCAGCAGUAGGGAAUCUUCCGCAAUGGACGAAAGUCUGACGGAGCAACGCCGCGUGAGUGAUGAAGGUUUUCGGAUCGUAAAGCUCUGUUGUUAGGGAAGAACAAGUGCCGUUCAAAUAGGGCGGCACCUUGACGGUACCUAACCAGAAAGCCACGGCUAACUACGUGCCAGCAGCCGCGGUAAUACGUAGGUGGCAAGCGUUGUCCGGAAUUAUUGGGCGUAAAGGGCUCGCAGGCGGUUUCUUAAGUCUGAUGUGAAAGCCCCCGGCUCAACCGGGGAGGGUCAUUGGAAACUGGGGAACUUGAGUGCAGAAGAGGAGAGUGGAAUUCCACGUGUAGCGGUGAAAUGCGUAGAGAUGUGGAGGAACACCAGUGGCGAAAGCGACUCUCUGGUCUGUAACUGACGCUGAGGAGCGAAAGCGUGGGGAGCGAACAGGAUUAGAUACCCUGGUAGUCCACGCCGUAACGAUGAGUGCUAAGUGUUAAGGGGGUUUCCGCCCCUUAGUGCUGCAGCUACGCAUAAGCACUCCGCCUGGGGAGUACGGUCGCAGACUGAAACUCAAGGAAUUGACGGGGCCCGCAACAAGCGUGGAAGCAUGUG
Molecule: ribosomal RNA, 904 nt
Filed under: uncultured bacterium
Lineage: Bacteria
Also listed under: 1 other name
Description: bacterial SSU rRNA
Rfam family: Bacterial small subunit ribosomal RNA
Source: RNAcentral